RNAcentral lists this ribosomal RNA (253 nucleotides) under uncultured bacterium. Its description in RNAcentral is "partial 16S ribosomal RNA". It matches the Rfam family "Bacterial small subunit ribosomal RNA", at positions 524 to 776 of the family's 1533-position model. The record is from RNAcentral.
GACAUAGGAUGCAAGCGUUAUCCGGAAUGAUUGGGCGUAAAGCGUCUGUGGGUGGCUUUUCAAGUCCGCCGUCAAAUCCCAGGGCUCAACCCUGGACAGGCGGUGGAAACUACCAAGCUGGAGUACGGUAGGGGCAGAGGGAAUUUCCGGUGGAGCGGUGAAAUGCAUUGAGAUCGGAAAGAACACCAACGGCGAGAGCACUCUGCUGGGCCGACACUGACACUGAGGCGCGAAAGCUAGGGGAGCAAACGGG